This 2753-nucleotide long non-coding RNA is filed under the name Sus scrofa (pig). RNAcentral's name for it is "lncRNA (ENSSSCG00015067575.1)". Lineage: Eukaryota; Metazoa; Chordata; Mammalia; Artiodactyla; Suidae. The record is from RNAcentral.
GUGCAUGCACAUAUGUAUUUGGGGUGCAUUGGCUGGAGUCUCAUGUUGCAGGAAUUCGAUGCAGAUUAAGUACGGUUUAUUGCUAGUGAGGAGCAGGGUAUCAACUGCAGAAAGGGUAGCACAUUGCUCAUUGUUUCUAGAAUGCUGGGUCCUUACCUGCCAGCUACUGACCAGGUUUGGGCUUGCUCUCCGCAGGUAGUGGGGAGAGAGGAACGUGCUCUUCAUUCCAGGUCCCUCAGUUUCUGCUACCCUUCAGUGACAUGGGUAGAAGGCCACCCAACUGGGUGAAAUAAAGCUCUGGCCCUAAUAUGCAAGGCAAAUGAUCAACUCACCAAAAGCUCUGUGUGCGAAAGGGAGGAGGAGCAAGUCUCCUCAUGCUGGGAUUUGGCAAAUCUGUGUCCACCUGGUAUGUAAGUACCAUGAAGGGUUAAAAGGAUCAAAACACAAAGCACAUGGAGGAAACUCUUGUAAGCCUGCCCUGUACUAGUUAGAUGGAUGCUGCAGUGUAGAUUCCAGGGUGUGUGUGACCAGUAUUGGGCAGGUCUGGGAGAGGGGAACCAGUGAGUGACCUGGAGGCCUAGCAGGGGUGGAUGGGGCUGUUGGCAGAGAGUGAAAUGGUAGGGGGCGCUCUGCAUGGAAGGCCAAACAAAAAGAAGGAGGACCCUGCACUAAGAUGAGAAAUUCGUUUCAAGGAAGGGGACCUGGUCUUGGCAGAAGUUGCAGAAAUGAGAGUGAAAAUAUAAUAACAACAACUGAUGUUUGAUUGAAGUAUAGUUGAUUGUGUACAGCAAAGCGAUUCAAAUAUAUCUAUGUACACACAUGUACAUACACAUAAAUACACAUGUAUACAUAUAUGUAUACAUAUUCUUUUUUAUAUUAUUUUCCAUUCUAAUAGGAUAUGGAAUAUGUUCCUUCUGCUAUACAGUAGGACCUCAUGGUUUAACUGUCCUAUAUAUAAUCAUUUACAUCUGCUAAUCCCAAACUUCCAGUCCUUUCUUUUCCUCCCCCUUGGCAACCACAAGUCUCAUCUCUAUGUCUUUGAGUCUGUUUCUAUCUUAGAGAUGUUAUUUUGUGUUAUAUUUUAGAUUCCACAUAUAAGUGGUAUCAUGUUGGUAUUUGUCUUUUGGACUUACUUCACUUAGCAUGAUAACCUCUAGGUCCACCUGUGGUCUUUUUCAUGGCUGAGUUGUAUUCCAUUGUAUAUAUGGACCACGUCUUUAUUCAUUCAUGUGUUGAUGGACAUUUAGGUUGUUUCGGUGUCUGAACUAACAAUAAUGGACAUUCAUCAAAUACCUACUAUGUGCCAGUCAGGAGUUUUCUAAGCACGUUAUAUAUAUAAAAUCUCAUUUGAUUUUCACAAAAAAUCCUUUGAGGUAGGUAUUAUUACUAUCCUCAAGCUAAAGACACAUAGCUAUGUAGUUAAUGAAGCUAAUGGAUUGAAGCUGUUCUUUUAAUCAUUCUUAUCCAUGGUGGCCAUUAAAGACACUAAAAGAAAAAUAAAAGUCAAGUUUGGGAGGAUUAAAAGGACUCAUUACUUGGUGGCAGAAAGCAGAGGACAGGAGCUCCUGCUGUGGUGCAGUGGGCUAAUGGUCUGGCUUGUCUCUGUGGAGGCUCUGGCUGGAUCCCUGGCCCAGCACAGUGGGUUAAGGAUCUGUUGUUGUUGCAGCUGUGGUAUUGGGAACUUCCAUAUGCUACAGGGGUAGCCAAAAAAGUAAGAGAAAGAAAGCCGAGGACAAAGCCAGAGUCCUCCCCUCCUCUCACGUGCUGAGAUAUUGCGGGACUGAGGAGUGGGAAGAUGGAGGGUGCACGCAGGUUAGAAAGGAAGCCCACCAGCCCUCCUCCUCUUCCUUGUCAAGAUGGAAUAACUUCAGGGAUUUGGAAGCCUCUACUUAAGUCUUCAAAUUAAAGAGGAGGCUCUUUUGUGCCUUGAAGGCUUCUUUCUCCCCAGAAGCCCGCGAGGAGGAUGGAUUGAAGGGAGCAGCAGGCAGUAGAGGCAGCCCCAAGAAGAGCAAAGUCCUAGCAGGGAAGUACUCUCUGCUUUUCGGAAGGUAGGGAAGGCAGAGAUGAAAGUUUAAGAGCAUCUUACCUUGCGUUGGUCUAAGUCUGAAUGCUGUGGACCACGCAUCAUGAAAAUGCUGGGACUCUUUGCCCUGAUUGCAUGACAAAUCUCAGUCCUUGUCGCCCCCUGUAGUUGAGCUGUGUACGAACGUUAAGCUUCUGGCCAUCACUUAAGGGGUCCUGGAGUAAGACAAACUCAUUCACUAAACCUCAGUGUCCUCGGGACCUGUGUCUUGCAUGGCUAAGCGGGAGCUUCUGGAGACAGGAAGAUGAGAGCAGAAGCUGGGCUCUCAAUGGGUGGAGGGCCCCUACCCACCCAGAGGGCACCUCACAAUCCCAGAGGUGCCCUUUCCUGACUUAUCCUUAGAGCCUGCCCUACUACACGUUCUGACUUCCACUGGGGCCAGUCCCAUUGGUAGGUCCUUGCAGCAAGUCAGAGAAGGUGAGAGAGAGAAACCUUCUCAGGUCCAGGCCAGGAUGGGUCGCCAGGUCCCAGGGGCUGGGAGGAGCACUGAACUCGAGAAAGUGACAGAGGGAGAUUCAGGAUGCGUCCUUUCAAGUUCUGAUCUUCAAAUCCCAAAACUGACAAAUUCGUUGGACCACAGCAAGGUGAGAAUGUAUAGCCAGAAACAGAGGGGAGAAAGCCAACAUCAGGUGUAGGGGACACCCAGAAGGAAGGAAAUCCAAGACAAAAG